UACGUAGGGUGCAGGCGUUAAUCGGAAUUACUGGGCGUAAAGCGUGCGCAGGUGGUCUUUUAAGUCAGAUGUGAAAUCCCCGGGCUUAACCUGGGAACUGCGUUUGAAACUGGAAGGCUUGAGUGCGGCAGAGGGGGGUGGAAUUCCACGUGUAGCAGUGAAAUGCGUAGAGAUGUGGAGGAACACCGAUGGCGAAGGCAGCCCCCUGGGUCAACACUGACGCUCAUGCACGAAAGCGUGGGGAGCAAACAGG
RNAcentral lists this ribosomal RNA (253 nucleotides) under uncultured bacterium. RNAcentral describes it as "partial 16S ribosomal RNA". It matches the Rfam family "Bacterial small subunit ribosomal RNA", at positions 524 to 776 of the family's 1533-position model. The record is from RNAcentral.